GCCAGCGUGGUGAAGUGGUUUCAGCACUGGACUACAACUGUGGAGUCCAGGGUUCGAAUCCCUGCUCAACCA
Molecule: transfer RNA, 72 nt
Filed under: Phrynosoma platyrhinos (Desert horned lizard)
Lineage: Eukaryota; Metazoa; Chordata; Lepidosauria; Squamata; Phrynosomatidae
Description: tRNA-OTHER
Source: RNAcentral